RNAcentral lists this transfer RNA (85 nucleotides) under Felis catus (domestic cat). It matches the Rfam family "tRNA". Rfam says of the family: Transfer RNA (tRNA) molecules are approximately 80 nucleotides in length. Their secondary structure includes four short double-helical elements and three loops (D, anti-codon, and T loops). Further hydrogen bonds mediate the characteristic L-shaped molecular structure. tRNAs have two regions of fundamental functional importance: the anti-codon, which is responsible for specific mRNA codon recognition, and the 3' end, to which the tRNAs corresponding amino acid is attached (by aminoacyl-tRNA synthetases). tRNAs cope with the degeneracy of the genetic code in two manners: having more than one tRNA (with a specific anti-codon) for a particular amino acid; and 'wobble' base-pairing, i.e. permitting non-standard base-pairing at the 3rd anti-codon position. The record is from Rfam by way of RNAcentral. Lineage: Eukaryota; Metazoa; Chordata; Mammalia; Carnivora; Felidae.
ACCUGGGUGGCUUAGUCGGUUAAGCGUCCGACUUUGGCUCGGGUCACGAUCUCACGGUCUGUGAGUUCGAGCCCCACAUUGGGUU